UGCCAGGAUCCCAUUGUACUUAACUGAAUUUUAUAACGCUGAUCGAUAUCUUGGUAAAAUAUUCAUUUUUAAACUAGCGGGCAGUGAAAUCUUUGCUUUGUGUGCUAAAGUCAACAGUCGCUCGGUUUGAGCUCAAAUAAAUGCAGGGAUGCCUCGGCUCGGCGCAGUCGGACGCCUCCCUCCGCGCAUUGGACGCUUUGCCACCCGCCCGCCUUCCAGCCACUGCAGGUAGGGAGCGCACCCACUCGGGGACCGCGCCCGGGCUCCCGGCAACAGCGUCUACCCCCAACUCAGGUCCGUACACCGCCCUUUUCCUCCCCUGCCUCAGCUACUCCCUCUCCCUUCCUGGAGCUCUGGAUAACUGGAUGCCUGGACGCGGGUUGAGAGUUGUAGCAGGGAAUCUCAGUCAAUGAAGACCCAGGAGGUUGGGAGGUGGCCUUUUUUACUGGGCGUUUCGAGAGUGUCAGGCAUAAAAGGAUGAGGGGUCCUAGAGUCAGAAACUCAGACUUAGUCUAGGCUUUGAGCAGCUAAGUUUGGUGGGGCCCCAAGGCAAUGAUAACCUAGGACCAGUCCCUACAGCAUCUGUAGCCCCUCGGGGCUAGGGAUUCGAUCCGAGCGCUGCCUUUCCCAAGGACAGUGGCUGGGAGGAGGGGUUCAGAGUCUAGGGUAGGGGUCAACAGGAAACGAUGUGCGUGGUGUCAGCGACAAUUCCUGAGAGACACAGGCCCGAGCAUGGUGGCCUCCCCCACCCCCAAGGCCCACAAUAGUUUGAGUCCAGUCUCAGUCCUUUCCCGGAUCCAGUCAGGCCAAGAUGACAGUGGGGGUCGGCACCAAGCUGGAGCAGGGGAAGGAGCGGUAAAGCCUUUCAAAAAACAAGUAGUGUUAGCUUUCUCCGUAGAAAGUGGCCAAUGAUGGCCUUUGCGCACUGGAGCGCUUGGCCGUAGGCAGGUUGAGGUAACCUUCAGGGUUAUAAACUGCGCCCAGGACUGAAAAUCAGAAAUCGGCUGCGGAGUCAUUCAUCGCCCCAUUCUUAUUGCAACUCAGUUGCCUAUUUUCUUAUGGAGCCUGGGUUCGCUUCUGGCCGGUCUGGAGGGUGCCCCAGCUUACUGGACGUGCGCGCUCAGGUGCAGAACGUCCGAGCAGAAUCAAGCCGGUCUUUCAGCCGCUUGCAAGCGGGUGGUGACUUCGGGAAAUCAGUAGUUGCUCAGAGGCUGUUGAAAAGGCAGGACGCUCGGCUUUCGAAGGCAGGAUUCAGAAAAGAUGUCUUUCCCCUUAGGUUUGUCCCCUCCCACCAUUCUUUCUCCAAUCUACAUUCUCCCUAUGGUCUUUCCUUUAAACGUCUGGGUGUCAGGCGUCCUGAGAUGUCCGUGCUCUGCUGGGUUUUACUAGGUAUUUCACUAAACAGUGUGAGACGCGCUAUGUAACCGGCCCACGGAAAAUGCCUGCCACCCCCAACUGGGAAGCUUUGCUGUCUGAGCCCCAGUUGCCAAUCCAAGUGGGCAGAAAUCAGUCUCACUGAUCCGCAGGAUCAGUGUUAUAUGGGCACCUCCAUUGUAUAGGGACUCUGGAUCCUCCAUUUCCCUCCUUUCCUGGCGCCAGGGGCUGCUCGCCUUGUUCACCGUACCAGAGGCCGGCUGGGGAAGCGCCUGCCGGCCACCGGACCGUGCUCUGAUUCGCGUGGCUGGUUAUCUUUCCUGAACAAGAUGGAACGCCUGCAGGACACAUGGCAAGGCUAAUCGUUUUUAAAUAAUUAAUGCCUCCCCGUUCCGCUGGUAAUGCAAGGCCUUGAAUCCGUCAAUUACUUGUCAUUAAACGAGUGUCGCCCCACGGCCUUCCCUCGGGCCUUUGAUGGGCGCCCCGUCACCUAGCCCAGCCCACUCCACUGAGGAAUUAAAAGGUGUCCGGCCUUUGAGAGCUGGGUGCGGAGAAGCCGCGGCCCUUAAUUCAGUGCGGGGGUUUUGAAAGAAAGACCCUCGCUGAAGAGAUGUAAUCUUCCAAAUGACCAAUUUAAACGCCUGAUCUUUAUCACCCGCCUUCUCCCUGUUUCAUAAAGAGAAGCCGGUUCUCAGUGCUUUGGGGGCCUUUUAAUGUUGGGGCGGGCGGGGUGGUGGGAGAUAAGGCUUAAUAGGGCAUAAUGGGGAGGAGUUUGCCAGAUGAGGUACCUAGAGGUAGCUGGGGCAAGGAGUUUUCUUGGGAGCAGUGUAUCCUUCUAAAUAUCCGGGUGUCAGGGAGUGCUUCGGGUGGAGAAGGGUAGCUGAGAGCAGGUCUGGAAUGUGUUCAUUCAUGAGCAUUCCCAAAACUCAACAGAGCCUUUUCUGACUGAAUCUUUACCCAGCCAGAGACAGCAAAAAAGAAGAUGGUAUUCCUGUCCUCCCCCUGUGGCUCCCCACCCCUGCCCCAGCCGCUGUGAAUUUGGAGCUACCGAACAGCUGGUGCUGGCCAAGAGCCACAAACUUGUGAGCAUAAGUCCUGCCUCACAGAAUAGACACCCCUCCCCCUAAACACCCUAGUAUUGCUAGUCCCGUUUUUUUUUUUUUUUUCUGUCCCUGAUGUGGCAAAAGAAGAACAAGGUUUCAGAUCUGAAUUAUUUUUGCUGAAAUAGGACAGCAUGGACACCAGCCCUGGCAGCAAUUCCAUAGCAACCCAGGCCAGCCAAGGAUUGGAGAGUGGGGAAAAAAAAAAAAAAAGAACUUUUCAAAAACAAGGAAAAUAGACACCCCCCCCCCAAAGUUUGUAACUCGAUUUCAUUAUACUUAUUCCUGCUUCCUUCCUGGGUUCAAAUAUUCAUUUUACCAUAAACAGAAAUGGAAGGUUCUCUGGACCUGUUUGCAAACUAUGUACUGUAUCUUCAACCCUCCUUGUCGGCAAAGAUAUAUCGCUUCCUCUAAGAUUUAUAGCUGACUUCAGAAUAUAAAUUUCUUAUAACUUCUUAUCCUUAGGACAGGUGUUCCCCUGAAAAGAGGGGGAAAAUAGAAUAGACAGGAAAUAGACAGGAGGAAAAGAUAAUGAGGAUCAAGGGAAAAACUUUUUAAAAAUGGAGAAAGGCUGAGGGGCUGUGUUCCUUGCCUGUCCCCAUAGGUCCUGGCUUGCUCUUCAGGUCUUCAACUCCAUACACACUGCCUUUCUAGGGCAGGUCACCCCCAUGUUUUUUUUUUUUUAAUUAUUAUUUUUUUUAUGAGUAAGCACCUCCAGAGACAAAAAUAGCAGGGAAUAGAUGUGUCCCCAAAGGAGCUCAGCAGGGGCUUCAGCUCCUGGUGGGUCUCUUCUCCCUUUAACAAAACUCCCAGGGAGUGCCCCUACCCUCGUCACUCCAGGGAUUGCCUCAGAAUCCUAAAUCCUGGGGCAUCUUCCCCAUUCUGUUAGCUGCCUUCCUGCCCACUCUCUUAUCCCUUUUUUUCCUUUCUUCUUUAAAACAAUCAUGUGUGUCCCCCCUUGCUCCCUCCUCCCAUUGUAUUUGUUGAUGACCUAACACGCUCACACCAAAAGCCACACACAGAAAACCAACAACGUGGGAUGGGAGGAGAGACCAAUUAUGACUGAGGCUAACAAGCGGGGAACACCCAAGUUGAGGCCGGCUGUCUCCUGGGAGACUGAUGGAGGCUUAUUUUACAAGCUGUAAUUCCGUCGUGGUCCCUAUUGCUAGACUAGAGGUGAUGCCUCCUCACCCCUCCCCCAAUACCAAAACCUUGUACUAAAGUCUCUCACACAGACAGGUAGACAGGACAGGAUGUUUUCAAGCACAGUUUCGCAACUGUAUACCUCUCCCCAGCCACCCAUAAAUGACUUUUCUUCAGAGCUUGGAUCUUACUUCAGAUAACCACAUAAACUGGUCAGAUGUCAUUAACUCUCUCCUCUCUGUUUCUGUCUGUCUGUGAGUUUCACUAUUUGAUAACACAACUGAUAUCUGGGCAUGCUGAAAGAAGCAACAUAAAUUAAGUUAUAUUCAUUCAUGAAAAACUAAAUUUCUCAUGGUCCCUCUAGGGCAAGUCCCUGCUCAUGUUAAUUAGAAGUACCAAUAUUCUCAGCAAUGUCAGAUGAUGAUGGCAGCAAUACUUUAUUUGUUUCACUUAAACAUCAUUAACCAAGAAGGAAAUUUCAGCAUCACAAACAUAUUUGUGCAAUGGAAAAAUAUUGAUGUUUGGUGCACAUCAGAACUUUGAAAUAAGAUUUGCUGUGUUUUAGUUCUACUUGCUUUUCUCAUUCCAUUUCCACUUGCUUAAAUAAUUUCCCCCAUAGUUAAAUCAACUUUCCCUUUGUUUUAUUUAUUUGAAAACAAUAAAACACUGGUUUAAGAAUAAGCAAGAAUGUUUUUGAACCACAGUUGGUCAUACGCCAAGCAAAUCAAAGUAGAAUUGCAUGCAUGUGAAUUUUGACUUGUUAUUUCCCUAGAAAUAUGAUCUCAUUUCUUUAUGAUUUCUCUUUUACAAAGCAGACAUAAUUGUAUAAUUAGUUCUAUUGAGAAAUUCUUACUUAAAGGAAAGCAUAUAAUUCCUAAUUUGAAAUCAUGCAUGUUGAAAUACAUUACUUAAAAAUAUAAAACAUAAUCUUGACAAGUAUUUGGGGGAAAGACAGAAAGAAUGAAUGCAUGAGGUGGAUGCCUGUAGAAUGGGGCAGGAGGACAAAUGAUUAUAUGACAUAUUCUAUGAAGGAAUGAAGUGAAAUGUCUUCCGGGGGCAAGAUCUGGGUCAUAGAGAACUCUGUAGAGUGGUCAGAGGAAACUUAAGCAAAGAAAUCAGGAUGGCAGGGCUGGGGGUAUAGCUCAGUGGUAGAGUACUUGUCUAGAAUGCACAAUGUCCUGGGUUCUCAGCACUGUAGAGGGGAAAAUAUCAGGAUAUUAUCAUGGGUUGUCUCUGAUAACAACAACAACAACAAAAAAAUGCAAUUGUGUUCGUGUUUUCUGCUGGCUAUACCUUCUAAAACCUUUAUUAGUAUAAAAUAAAGAAAACCAUUUCACUAUAUAUUUUCCAUUUGCACUGCAAUUCUAAGCUACAUUUUGAACUGAGUAGUUCAUACAGUGGAAGAAGUUGUUACUGCAGCUAUAUGCCUUGCUGACUGAGAAAAACUACACUUUACCCAGAAAAGCCAGUCCAUUUUUUUUUUUUUUGGCAGAAAAUUUGUCUUUUGUUCUAUCAUUUUAGUGUUUCUUAUUGGCCCCCCAUACCCCAACAUAUUCCCUCAGCUCAUUCUUUAACACAACUCUAUUCAAUCCUACUAUCCUUAAGUGGAGUUCUUGUAGGUGUCAGGCACCAUGGGAGAUGUCUCAUGAACAUGAUCUCUAUAGUCUUCCCCAUACCUCAGUGGUAGAAGAAUUAUGUGUGAUGGGCCUGGGGCUGAGAGAAGUUAGGGAACUUGCUCCAAUUUCAGAGCUCGGUACUGAAGUCCAGUUUUACAGUUCUAUGUUCUUUCAGUUCCUCUUGUUUCAUAUAUGAUUUUGAGCAUAGUCAACUCCAAUUCCAAAGCAGUAGGAAGCCUGCCUUCACCAGAACUUCAGAAUUUGCAAAGUAAGCUGUGUUGGUAGAAGAGGAUGUGUGUUAGGGGAAGGCUGAAAAGAACAGGAAGAUCUCAAAAGAGUGAAAAUUGGAUACCCCUUUUGGAGGUUAAAAAAGACCUACCCUAGACCUGGUAAAGAUUAUAAUGGUAUGUCUGGGAUCAGUCUGAUGCUUAUUUUCUCUUGUAGUAACAGUCAGAAUUCUCAUGUGAUCAUGGUCCCUCAAAGCCAGCAAGAGGUUCAUUCAGACCUGGGCUGCACUUUCUUCCCUGUGGAAUCUCCAGGGCCAGCUGGCUAAUGCUGUGGAAAAGAGGAGACAGGGCGAGAAUCAGCAGCUAAAUGGUUCUUACAUUGUGAUUAGAAAGAGAAAAUGCCAGAGAAGGGGCGGGCGGGGGGGGGGGGAAUCAAGGCAAAGACCAUGGGCAAUUCACACAGCCAAAUUAUUUUGGAGAUUCAGCAUAUCAGUUUAAAUCUUUACUACGAGUAGGGAUCAGGAAUAUCCAAGAGACUCUUGCCUCUAACCUCCCCCUGACCUGCACCUGGAGGCAUGACAACACAGGUGACAACACAGCUGGAAUGUAUGCACCUCCCACAGCUGGUCUCCAAAAUGGCCUUGCCCAAGCUGCAACAACUGCAAGACCCCCAUCCUCCACAGCAUGCUUCCUCCAACAUAUAUACAAAUGCAGAUCAUGAUAAACAUCUGCUUCAGAGGUUUGUCUUGAGUAGAAUGUUGGGGAAGGUGGGCUGGCCUGCAUCCAUCCUGGAGGAGAAUGAGGCUCAGCACCUAAUAGGCCUGCUGUCAGAGAGAGGAGAGCAGAGUGCACACCAGUGGACUACAUAUGGGUAUGCAUGACAAUUAUGGCUGAACACCUGCUUGCCAAAGCCUGGGGACACCAGGUGGAACUGAGCAGUGGCCUUCCUCCUCCUGGAAAUAGCACUCAAUCUUGGUGCAGAGGUCUCCUUUUCUUUUCAGCCUACAGAGAGCUAAAUUACCUUGUCUGUCCAGAUUUAGUGGUGUGGAAUUUCCUGCAGACUUAGUAUCUUCCAUUGUGGCAUUUCAGAGGAGACUUAUACAACCAAAUUCUAAGAUCAGCUCAUGCACAGUGAUGUCCAGGGCAUGGGAAUGAUCAACUCUUGAAGAGAACAGAGUUCUAGAUUAAACUGUACUACCCACUCCAAAUUGCAUAACUGAAAUGUUAGACUAAGGUGGGGACAUGAGAUGACACAAGCUACCCACUUUUAGUAAGGGCAGUAAGCCUUCUAAAGACCGGGAAAGCAGAGAAUGCCAUUUUGAGGGUGGUUUGUGGGAGUGGGCAAGUGGGGGAAGGGUAUCCAAUCUAUAUUUUGUCCUUUCUCCAUUUUAAUUACCACCCCUCUCUCACCAGCAGAGUUUGCCUAUUAAAGGCCAAUCUCUCUUGAUUUCUUUGCUUUAAAAGGACAUUUCGAUUCACCCAGGCAGACAAUUAAAUCCCCCUCGAGCCUCUCCCUUCCCAGAGCUCCAGAACAAGAUGAGUCCCUAUCUCCUCACAGCAUCGAGCUGAGAGAAGAAGUUGAUCUCAGGUGCUCACCUGCAGUUAUCAGAAUGCCAGACUCAUUUAGGGAGCUCAACUCUGGACCCUGAGGCGAUCCCUUCAUUGAUUGUGGAAAGCGCUGUUUAGAUUUUGCCCCUGCUCAGUAAACAACUAAAAGUAACUGCGCGAUUUCUGCCUUGCAUUCAUCGAACACUCUCUCUCUCUCUCUCCCUCUCUCUCUCUCUCUCUCUUACACACACACACACACACACACACACACAGCUCCUAUUAAUCAUGAAGGAACAGUCAGAUCACAAUGCCUUUAUAAUAUGCUUAGCUAAUCCCCCCACCCCCCAGCAGCUGGGUCUUCUGGGGGAUGCUAUGCCUUCCUCCGAAGAUUCACAGAUCCCCAGAAGGACACACCCUCCCAAAUCCCUAAGACUGUAGGGACCUGAGAAAACGGUGCCUCUUUGGAUCCCCUACUCUGCAACCUCUGAAAGUCCACACCUGCCUAAAAUACUUACCAGGGACUUCCUAGGGCCACUCCUCUCUCUCACCUCCCUUCCCCCACACGAAGUCCUCUAGAGUUCUCAGUUGGUCUUUGAUAAGCCUGUUGCAGCUCAGACUCAGAGAAACAAAGUUGGGGGUGGGGGCACAUUAACUGUCUACAGAGUUGGAGGCAGUUUCUGGAUAAAGCAACCAUGGUACUCCAGGGAGUGAAUUAAAAUGGCAAACUCACUCUCUGAUCAUCAAACUUAAGAUCCUUAAGGAGAUCGCAUUUACUCCUCAGUUACUAACAGAAAAAAAAGAAAAGAUGUUCACUACUGUCCACAAUUUGCAUUUCUCUGAAUAGACCAUUAGUUAUAUAAUUAAACCCCCUUCAUUUAGCUCUAUCUGUAGGAGUAAGUUCGCACCCACUCUGUCACCUAUUUGUAUAAAAUGGACAAAAAUUACCAGGCAUCCAAAACAAUAUAAAAGUUUAAUACAAAUCCUAAACGAUGACAAUUUAAAAAUCAAACAAUUAUUUUUAAAAAAUCAAGUGUUAAAAAGCAGUUUUCCGAAAGGUAUUAGAAGUCACCCUGGGACGAAUGUGUUUUUUAAAAAUUAGCUUUCUCUUUCAAAGUUGGUACUAUUUCAAAUGGAAUUCUUUUCUUGUUUGUCUACACUCCUUUCACAUGAUAAAAGAUAUUUUUCAAAUGAGAUCACCUCAACUUAAAAUACAGUUCUCCAUUACCAGCUGGUCUCAAGCAAAACCUUUUCUUUGAGGACUCACACAACUAAUUUCCCAAGAUGACAAAUUGUAGUAAUUUUUAUUUUUGAAAAAUCCCUAAUCUUGCCCAAGAUAAUUUUUAAAAACCUAAAAAUUAAAUUUUUAAUUUGUAAAUUCUUAGGAUUUAAGGUAGAAAUAAUUUCCACAGUAUUGAGUGUUCCAUAGUAGUGAAUAGUGAACAGGUAAAUACAUUUAUUUUUUAAAUGAAGGGCAGCUCUGGAAAUUUGAUUGCUACUUUUUGUAAACUACCCAUGGGCAAACUCCAAAAGUGUGUCAUUUCUUCUCUCCUUUCUUUUUCUAGUAUGAUUUUAUAAGUGGGUUAUGAAAUGCAUGUGAAAUUUCGGUAUAUUCACUAAGUGCCAAUUUUUCUCCACAUUUUGUGAAUAUCAACUAUUUCUUUGCAUGAUGUCUAGUUGAUGGCAUGUCCUGAGGAAUUGAAACCAUCAAGGAUUGGCAUACACUUGCAUUAGUUUUUAGGGUGCUUAUGCAGCAGGUCACAACAUCAUUGUUAUUGGCAGUGCUAUUUUGUUGAACCUCAAUUUUGAUAUGACUAAAAAUAAUUACCAAAUUUCAAUUAAUAUUUGCCUAUAAAUUUCAUGUUUGAUCAAAUAGCUCAAUGGUGCUAAAUAAACCUUUCCUUGCAAAUAUUUCUUUGUAUUUCUCAAUGUUUGUCCUUCUAUCCGUGAAAUCUACAUUCAAAACAUUUUGGUGAGGGGGGAGAGAAUUUAUUUAUAAUUUUUGGUUUGUUUAAAAUUAUUAUUAAUACAGUUUAGAAAAUAUUUCUGAGCAAAAAAAAAAUACAAUUGCUUCUAUGCCGAAUAGGAAUUUAUUUUCUUUCAUGCCUUCAUUUGUACAAUACACAAUAUUUGGGCUGGUAUCACACACACAUUGACUAGUUAAAUGUUAUAUAUAUAGUGUAUAUAUAUUUUUAAUAGUUUUCCCAGACAAAACCACGUUAAGUUUUGAAACACAAUUUAAGAGAAACUUGCAGAUAUUUUUAGGAAUCGGGUCUAACCUCCCAUGACACUCAGAAACAAGAGACAUUCUGUUUGGUUCAAGGGGCGAAAACCACGACCUAACGGUGUUUACAUGUGUAUUCAGCCAUGAAAUUGAAUAUUAUCAAAGUUGAAAAAUGCAAAUCAAAUUAAAACCGGAGAAAAUUGUCUUUGGAAUUACAGCGGCCUGGAGCCCCCAAGUGUUUGCUUAAAUUGAAGCAUUAUAAAAUGAAAAGCAACUAAAUUACCCCCCUCCCCGGUCUCUGACACCCCCCCCCCCAUGACAUUGUUCUUUAGUUCUGUCUAGGAAAUGUGUCUAUGUUUAGGAAUAAAUCACUCGCCGCCGUUUCCACAAAUAGCACUGGAAUAUAGUUUUUUUGUUUGUUUGUUUUUUCUGAAAAAAAAAAUAAAUGCUUCCCUUUACCUAAGUUUUAAAGUCAGGCCUGCUUCAGAAACGGAGCGGCACCCACUUUUCUUAUUCGGAAGUGAGCCCCUAAGCUGUUGGCUGACGGCCUUGCUUUAGCUACUCGCGAGUGGCCAGGGGAACCUUUGGAGCAGCGGGUGGCAGUCACCAAAGAGGAGCUCUCAGGGAGAACCGCCCUAGCCUCCACUCGGGCUCUGGGAGUACUUGAGCGGGGGGUGGGGGGUGAGGGGUGUGGGGGCUCGGACUCCCUGCAACCUGCUGGUGUCCAACCCCUCGAGGUGGUGCAUCCAGCACAAUUGGGGCACACCUGCGGGCCGGCUGGGCCGCGGGUUUUGCAAAGCCUCUAGCGGACCCUCGGAGCCUCUUGGCGCAUAGUUUGGGCUGUUUUGACUUCUGCGAGAACAGGCUGCCUUUACGCAAUCGUCACGGAACCCUCGCUGCUCUCAAUGGACACUUGUCUGACACAGAGUUUUUCGGGGCCUUGGUAGAGGAGAUCAAAAAGGGAAAAUGAGUUGACAUUUAGUUGAAAAUAUUAUUUAGAGGAAAAAAAAAUAUAUAUAUAUUUUAGAUCUUAAAACACGACGGUCACUCUUGCCAUUUCUCAAGUUCUAGAGCGCAGGGAACCGACCUGAGGUAGCCAGCCGCACUGGACUGGACCUAUCCCGUCGCGGUGGUAGUGGGUGAUGCCGACUUAAUUUUUCUCCUGCCCCUCCCCAUUUCGUUUCUGCCUCCGGAAAAANUGAGACAAUGCAUAGUGAUUUCUGCAGACAAUGGACAGUUCCUUUUAAAAUGACACUCUCAAUAAACACACCUAGGCUUAAUCUGAAAUAUCCUCUUAAAAAGAAUAUCUUCUUUGUGUUCAUCUGUGAAUCCAUAUCUCUAUCUUGCAGAAUUUCCAGAAAAGAAAGUGAAAUACAUUUGAACAUCUAACUAAAUUUUUAUGAAUCCCACAUUAUAUCAACAUAUUUGACACAACUNGGGUUUCUAGGAAAGCAGGCAUUGCAAUUCUUCAUUGCUAGAAUUCUCAUUCUUUAAAUAACUUGAAAAUGGAUGCUUUUCUUUUUUCAAAGUAUAAAAUAACUCCCCGUGUUAUUUCCUAUUGUCCUUUUUUUUUUCCCUAGUCCCAGAGGAUUAGCAAAGGGAGAGUAAUGGACUUCCAUCAAUGUCCUUUGGCAUUUCACAGAUCAGUCUGAUUUCUCUCAGCCAGUACACACUCACUAUAACCAUUUUUAAAGUGUGAAUGGAGUUAGGAAGUUGGAAAGCCAAACAUUUUUUUUUUUUCCCUGUGCUGGGCUGCAGAAACUUCUUUUGAACUUGUAAGUGGUGCUUGAGACAAUGCAUAGUGAUUUCUGCAGACAAUGGACAGUUCCUUUUAAAAUGACACUCUCAAUAAACACACCUAGGCUUAAUCUGAAAUAUCCUCUUAAAAAGAAUAUCUUCUUUGUGUUCAUCUGUGAAUCCAUAUCUCUAUCUUGCAGAAUUUCCAGAAAAGAAAGUGAAAUACAUUUGAACAUCUAACUAAAUUUUUAUGAAUCCCACAUUAUAUCAACAUAUUUGACACAACUGCAGCUAUGGCAGCCUGGAGUCAUGUACAAAACAGAAUGACUUCACUCCAUCGAUGGAAGUAUAUUAAAUGCUAUUUUAAAGGAGAUUGCUAGAAAAUCUUAUCUGAAUUACAUAAAAGAGCAUGUUUUAUAUUUCUUUAAAAGUAAUGUGUUUUCCUCCUUGGUAUUACAUGCUCGUGUGCUCUUUAGCAUUGCAGAAGAAAUUGAAUAAGUAUAUAUAUAUUUUUUUUGUUUAUUUGGUUUCUUUUGUUUUUGUAAUGCUAAACUUAGAGCUUUGUGAAUGAUAGGCAACUUGAUGUAGCAUGUAAGACUGAAAAAUUAUCUCUUACAGCACGUCUAUUAUAUUUGCAUUUUAUAGAAAAGCUAUCAAGUAAUUUUUUUCUUGGUGAUGGUAUGCUUUCAAAAUAAAAAUUUCAUUUUCCUUUAAAACUGGCACCACAGAUAAAUUACAAUUAUUAUUAUUAUUAUUAUUAUUUUCAUGUUUAAAAACAGCUCUUUUGAUCUAGAGACAUUUUAAGUACUGUGGAAAGUUUGUGGCAUCUUUAAUACAAAGUAAUGCUCCCUUCUGGCCCCAUUUCUAGAAUCAUGAUCUCCUGAAUGGGUAUCUGUGUUAAUAACUCAGAGGUUCAGGAGAGGGACUUUACCAAGAGAUCCUGAUAUAGGGCCAUAUUUCACCCAAUUUCCAUCCCUGCCUGCUAAUCUUCAAUACACACAAACCAUCUUUGGAAAGCAUUCCUGUUUGGCCUUACUACCCCUCCCACAGGGCAAAUAGGAACUUUUGGUUCUUCAUCUGUAAAAUGGGCAACUUAUUUCCAUCUGGCCUGUUGUGAAGGUGGUGGUGUUAAGAGAACCACAUUUCAUCACAGUUAUUUAUAUUUGAUAUUGGUGAAAAUCAAGAGAGCUGUGUACACUGUUUUAAAACCCUGUGCAUACAUGGGAAAGGAAGGAAGGCAUUAUUGAGGGGGAAAUAAUUUAGUUUAUGAUACCUAGGCAGAUAUAUUCAGGCCAGCCUGUACUUAUUCACAUAAAAUUUCUUCUGUUUUCCAGGUUAUAAUUGGCUAUAAUAGCUGAGAAUAGUUGUCUUAGUCCAUUACAUCAUUCCUGUCAAGGAGUCGAAUAUGAGCAUGUUUUUAUCCUCAUUUCAGAAUUGUUUUGUACUCUUUUUCUCUUCCUUUAAGUAAUAGGAUGUAUAUAUUUUUUAAAAUCUUAGAACUAGCAAAGUCAACAGCUUUCUACCUUGUAUUUAUACAAAUGUAGACACCUACAUAAAUCCAUGACUUCUGACUGUCCACCCCCUCCCCAUCCCCGGAAGUGAUAUCAAAAUAGCUCAACUAUGACAUGGAAAUUAAUAAUACUUUUUAAAGAAACUGAGUUUUGAGGAUAAGGAUGGGGAUGUAGCUUGUUGUUAGAGGACUUGCCUGGUAUACAUGAGGCCCUAGGGUUUGAUCCUCAGCACCUCAAAAAAGAAAAAAGAAAAAAAACAGAAGUGCAGUUUUUCCUGUUUAGUAAAUAUUUCUUUCAUAAGCAUAUAUUGUUUUGCAACCCUGUGUCAGCAUUCUGCUUAGGCCUGGGGUACUGACCCAGCCAAAGAAGAUGGUUAUGAGGUCACUUAGCAAUGACAAUUUCCAGUUUGAGUAAAUUUCACUAUGGAAAAGGAAAUACUCUGCUCUAGUAUGUUCUCUCUCCUCAUAAAAAUUGGGAGUGGGCACGAAACUCCUUAAAGAUUUUCUAUAUGUUGAACGAAGCUCAUGUGUUGUUCUAUUUUGAAUUAAUUAAUAAUUAAACCAUGGAUAAAGCAGACCUUGAGUUCAUAAAGCCCAAAUUCUUUCGGAAUAGGAGGCAUCAUUCCUGUAAUGAGAAUACAGGGACUUUUCAAAGAUUCCAUCCUGAGGUAGUUUCCUUUCCAAACAAAAUUCUCACAAUUGGCUCACUCUUCUUAAUGUGAAUUCUUAUGCAUUCUCUAGAUUUAUUUAUUCAUAGCUACUGAGACAGAAAGAGUAGGUAGAGGAAGGACAUUCGUACAUUUGGAUGCUUUCCUCAGAGCCCUUAGUUCAUGUAAACUGAGGAAUGCAUGACUUAUUCACAGAGAGGCAGUGGUCUAGUUCCAUAUGGGUGCUGUGUGCUUAUACAGAGCUCUCAGGGUAGGGAAAUAGGGCCCAUGAAAAUCAAGAGUUGCAUAACUGCACCAAAGCAACAGAACGAUACCCACCAGGAUUUGUCAAUUGAAAGAUCUUAAAAUGUAAAGAUGUUGAUUUGUCCUGCUGUCAUAAGGAAGUUGUGGCAAUUAAGUUGCCCACAUAGACAUUUAACCUCCCCUGAAGUUACUAAAUCUCAUGAUGAAUAAAUAAAGAUGCAUGAUGAAUUUUUAGAACUCUAUGGACUAAAGCUGAGUGACUGAUCUAAAACAUCAAUGUUUUUCAAUGACCAGAAAAUGUCCAUCAAAUCAGAGUGAUCAUUUGGAGUGAGAAGUGGCCUACUUUAGGUACCUUGUGGGCCUUUCUUUGCUGGCCUAUAAAACAUUGGAAAUUAAUUCCGGCUUCUCAAAAAUAUGACCAGUGACAAGAGUGGAAAACAGUCCUUUGGAGGGUAGGGAAGCUUUCCUCCAAAGAGCACUGAGCCCCACAGGGCACACCAAAAACUAGGUGACAUGGAACCUUGUGUUCAGAAGGGUCACACAGAUGGGAUGCUGUUGGCAAUGUUUUACAAAGGUGCAGAAUCAAAGUGGACCCAAGGCACAGCUACUGGGGAGAAUCUUACCUUUAUUAGUACCAUUUUAAUUACUGGGGUCAAGAAGAGCAUAAAGGAAUAAAACUCAACCUGUGAAAAGUUAAAAAAAAACCCAAAACUGUCAAUCCCAAAAUGCAUGGAAUCAUCUCUCAUUCCCUUUUGAAGGCUGUGUAUACUUUUCAAGCUGGGUAUUUACUGCAUGGGGGUUUCUAAUAUAAUGUGAUUUUUCAUUGUGCUUUGUCUCUUUAGAGAGGAUUCAGAAGGCCCUUGAAGUCCUAGGCCUUAAAUCCAUGUUAAUAGGGGGGAUCUUUUUUUUUUUUUAGUAGGUGGGGAGGUUUGGUUGGAAGAAACAUUGACCCUGGCUGCACUUUGGGUAAACUACAGCAGAAGACCUGAUACGGUCUGCAGGGUACUUAUUAACCACUGUUCAUUUGUGGGAUCAAUAUUUCCAGCAAAGGAGUCAACAUUCAAGAUACACCACAAUGUCUGGCUCUUUUCUUGACACAACAAUUUAUUUUAUAAAUGCAUCUGCCGGAGAAGAAAAGGGAGCACCAAGCACUGUGUCUUUUAUCUCGGGGAUAUGCAAAGCGCAUUUAUUUUCAGCUUUUAUCUCUGGAAUUGUAUGUUGAUCCCAUACAUAUAGAUUGAUUUUGUUCAGGUAGAUAAUGAAAAGUCAAGUGGAAAAUUACACAAUGGCACUCACGAUCCUGGUCUUAUAUCGGUAUAUAAAUUGGUUUAUUAUUUCAUUCUAUUAAAGAGGCUUUUUUUUUUUUGGUACUGGGAAAACUUCAAAAUGCAUCAUGUAGUCAGUCUCACUGAAUUUUCCUUUGGAGGAGGAGGUGGGGAGGGAACACAAUGGGGGCUGAUUUCUUCUGCUCUUUUUGCUAAUUACAUUGGCUAAGUGAUCUUCACAGAGGGUUGUCCUUGUGGCUUUUUGCUCUCCCUCUGCCCAUUUCAGGGUGGUGCCUGUGGUUUUCUGUAACUCUUGAACCUCUUUGGGUGGGAACAAAAACGUCCAUCAUGUAUAUCCUGUUACAUAGGUGUGUGUGUGUGUGUGUGUGUGUGUGUAUAUAUAUAUAUAUAUUUUUUUUUUCACCCCAGGCAAUUCUAAAUUCUGUCACGAUGCCUGAAAGAGGCAACCCCCUCCUGAGCACCAAGGGACCAGGGGUGAGAGGGUGGCAUCAGAUAAAGGCCACCAUCAAGGGACAGAUUGGAGCCAGAAUCUUGGAGGAAACGUUAUUAAUAAACAUCUUCUGGACGUUUGGUAGCCCGUGGAGCUUGCUCCAGCUUAAAGCAAUUAAUUCAGGACACUGACAUAAACUCUCCAGGUCUUUGACAGCUUGGAGCCGAAAUAAAAAUGCUAGUUCUCCGGGGAAGAGAGGAGGAUGGCUAGCUCUUUUCUGGACUGUUUGCUUAUAGGCCCAGCGAGCAACCUUCCUUGCAGAAUGAAAUGCAAGGGCACAAACAAUGUACCAGGGAGAGAAUAGAAGAUGAGAAUGAACAGUUUGAACUAUUUGCUCAGCAGAAGGGCACCACAAUGCUGGGGUAGUGGUUUUCCCAUGCAUCCACUGUCCCUUCUUUGGGUUCUUUUGUUGUCCCUGUCUCCUUUGGUUAGAUAAGAGCACAGCUGCAGCAUUGCAGCUAAGUAAGGCUGCACUUAUCCCCUUAAAUCUCGGGGUGCCUGUACUGUACCAGGUUGCACUCAACUCUCUUUUAUUUUACCAGGGGGGUGGUGAGGGAGAGAAUGGAGAACUGAGGGGGAGGGAGACACAGGACUUUUCACAUUGCUUAUGUCUGAUUCAUGCUUUUCCCUGCCUCUUUUUCUCCCUUAAAUCCAAGCUGUGAUUAGAUGCAAUCUUUGUGGAGUGUUUAUAGGGAAGGUUUCAGUGUCUUGUGGUAGUUGUCAAGUCAAAAUGUUGCCUUUUGGGGAAGAAGGGAGAGGAAGCGUUUGUACAGUGCAGAGUACGAUGAGGCAGAGUUUUUGGUUUAAAUAAUCAGCCCUCUCUGCUGCUAAAAAGAAGGAAAAAGUUGGGAACAGUUGAUUUAAAAACUAAGUUUAAUUGUGAUUUGCCACUUCUGAAAAUCAAUUUGGGCUUCUCUUUUCCACAUUUAUUUGGUUCAGAAUCCUAAUGAAUAGAGGUUGCUACAAUCAGAGUUAAGAACAGGAUGAACCAGAGAUGGGACAUAAAGUGUACUUUUGUAAUUGCCAUAAAUUACACUUAGGAUCAGAGUAAAUGACAUCUAAAAAAAUAAUCAGAUGUUCUUUCACAUUUGCUCUUUUAAAACCAGAGCUUAUUUUUAAAUACCAUAAGAAAAAGUAGACAUAAUAAUAAUAUAAAAACAAACACAAAGUGCGGUUUACAUUAAGUUGAUUUUAAAGUCAAAAUCGAACCCAGGUUUGCACUGUUGGAUGUGUGUUCCGACUCAGUGGAUUUUACCCCUGGUGUUGGUUUUGGAAGCCAGGAUACAAUGCUUAAUUCUAUGGUAAUAAGGUUGAUUUAGCCUGAAUGGUCUUUAUAAGGUGAAAAGGCAAAAAGUUUAACCCCAAAGAAAAUUAAUGGUUUACUAUGAUUGCAUUAAAUAUUCACAGGCUAAAAGCCUACCCGCGGGAAAUAAAAAGUUUUCAAUGCUUCGUGUGUAUGUGUGUGUGUGUUUCUCACUGACAAAACUGGUGGUGGGGUUGGGCGGGGUGGGGGGGAGUCUACCGUAUAUUUUUCCUGCUGGGUGGUCAGAAGGAAAGGCCAGGAAGCCAAAGGCCUCCCAUUGAGUCGCCGCUCUGCGAAGAGCAGAAGAGCCGACCUCACGUGCAGCCACUGAGGGCACCUGUUCAUCUCUGCGCACUGUGGGGGCGAGCUCUACGCAGGCAGCAGGAGGGGCCGGGCGCGUGCCCCCUGCAGCCAUGGAGAUGAUACCCACAACAUGCUCACAGCAGAUUUAGGACACCAUCUAAAAUAUCCACGAAGCCAUUUUCCAGCAAAACUGCUAAGUAAUUUUAAUGCCAGUGAGUAUUACAUUUGGUUAAAAGAGUGUGUGUGUGUGUGUGUGUGUGUGUGUGUGUGUGCGUGAGAGAGAGAGAGAGAGAGAGAGAGAGAGAGAGAGAGAGAGAGAGAGAGAGAGAGAGAAUAUGCGUCCAAACCUGUUUGAGAUUCAAGGAGAGGGAAAUAUGGAUGACAGGUUCUAUUUAGAAGUUUGCAAAUGUUUUAUGGUACCAAGAAAUGACACCCUCCCCCACACACAAACAAAAAAGAAAGAAAGAAACAAGAAAAGACUACUACAAAAUAUAUCAUCCUUUGCUAUGAUUUUGUAUGAACAUAUAUAAAUGGAUGAUAACCUUUCUUCCUAUAAGAACUGUAACAAAGUUAUGAAGGACAGUUGUUCUGCUUUUCCUUCAAGCAUACAGUUAAAAUUUUGUAUUUUGUACAGGAUGAUUCGUAUAACACUAUAACUGAACUCACAUAUAUUUCAUCUGAUUAGAUGCUUAAAUAUAUUCUGUCUUUUUGAGAACUGAGGUCAAAGUGGAAAUUGUGGUUGGCCUGGGUGAAUAUAUAUCUUUUCUUUAUCUAAUUCUUGACACAAAGAAAAACCAGUCCAGAGAAAAUUUUCCAGUAUAUCAAUUUUAAAUGAACCUGGAAGUCAUGUUGAAUUAUUGUGGCUAACUCAGACAUACCCUGGUUGGUGAGACUCUAGUUCUAUUAAAGGACUUUCCCCUCUCUUGAGAUCAUGGCUUUUCACAAGAUGGGAAAUUGGUUGGUUUUUAUUUCCAAUUUCUGCAAAGAAUACACAUGCAACCAGUAUUCAUACAAAACUGCACGUGUUGGAAGGCCUCUGAGGGAGGAGCAAUGCUAUAGGGGAGGGCAAAUGCACAAAUAAUGAAUCAAGUUUAAAGGACUGGUCAAAUGCAAGGAGCAAGUGAUACUGAUCUUAUAUGUAAGGGGCUUGGACAUCACACCAGCUGCCAGGGGGUUUGAUUAAUGAGGCAUUAAGGAGAUGGAGUGACACUUACAGCUAGUUACUUAUGGUGCUAAUUUCAAAACACUUUGCAAUAGACAAAGAGACUCUGCUCAUAAUGCAAAGUAAUUUGUGGUGUGUUCCUGGUGAAUGCAUUUAGCGAAGCAAAUAUAGUUAUGCGGAAUUUAAAUUAAGGUUGACACUAAUGUAAACAGAGCCCAAGAACCACUGUCCAAUAAUUUGAUGAGGACAUAGGUUUUAAUCAAGCCUCUUCCACUAAAAUAGCAAUUUAAAUCCCCAUCGUUUAGACUGGAUAAAAUGCUUAAGCCCUGAAGGUUGUUGUUGGUGGUGGGGUGGGGAGGGGAUAGAAAUUUACUGGAAAAGAAAAAAAGAAACAUAUUAUCUCUGGGGGGAAAGGGUGACUAUGCUUUGACCCAAGAGAGGGCUAUGCAUGUGGCUGUAAAUACCAGGUUGAUUUCAAGGCCAGGUCUGGGUAUUUGAAAGCAUUGAACAUGUAUCCUUUUUGUUGUUGCAAAGUUGUGGUUGGAUACAUUGUGGUAGUAUUGAUCUCAGAAUAAAAAUGCUCCUGGUAAUUGGGAAGUGGAGACUAAGCUGAUUCUGAGGCUCCAGAAGUAUUUAUUUUAUUAAGAGGAGAAAUCCUCCCAGCCCCCAACGGAUUCCUAUUUGAACAGGAAAAAUUCCGCAUUGACAGGGAGUGGAGGAAGGGGGGCAGGGCUGGUUGGGGAGACUGGCCAGCCAUCCUGAAGGGUUAGCUUGACUGGGGAACCCACACUCACACAUGGCUUUGUCUGGGUUUGCCAAUUUAUUUCCCUUACUCAAAGUCAUUGGGGGCUGGGUGGGGGUGGGGUCAUCCCAGGCAUUAACAUUAAUUAAAAUGCCAGUGGCCUGCGUUCCAGGGCCUGGGAGGUUUUGUAUAUGGGAAACAAAACCAAACAAAAUAGCAAUUUAUUCUGUCACUGCUCCUGGAAGGAAAAACAAGUGACAGUUUGGCAACAUUCUCUAGGGCCUCCAGACUUUAUCCCUGGCAGAAGAAUAGGAAAGGUAAGGGAAACCCCAGUCUCUGGAUUGUGUGAUUCUGACUUCUCCAAAUCACAUUUGAUAUCUUCUGUGGAAAGAAAUUGGUAGGAUGAAGUGUAUUUUCCAAAGCCAUUCAGAAGAAAGGGCCAAAAAUUCUUUGGGGAGAAAAAUCCUUUAAGUGUAUGGUGUUCUGAAAAUGCUUCACGAUCACCCACCUUAAUUAAUGUGGUGGGGUUGGGGGUAGGACAGGAGAUUUUUACAUCUGGGAGAUGAAGGACAGGUCUGAGCAUUUAUUCGGAGUCAGGCACCAGGGGCCUGGUUGGGAAGAUGUGUCUUAAACUCAGAGAAACUGAUCCCAAGGAGCUUUAGUCACAAUCCUAAGGUCACACAGGCAGGACCUGCAAGGCCAGUGUGCUGUCGUUCCCAGGCUCAGUCCCACAGGGGAUGCUGCUUCUUAGAGAAGACUUAUCUUUUCUCUGGGACCCUUUAUGUGUGAUCCUUUUGGGGUCACAUUAGUGAUACUUUGGGGAGACUCCACCUCAGUUGUAUUACCUGAGGAAAAUCCACAUCUCAAGCUUCCUUCUUGCAAACAGGAAAAAGAGAAGGGACAUUUGAUAAUAUCCAUCCCUCUGAAGUUAGAGAAAAGGAACUGAAAUGCAUUCAUGUUCAUCCCAAUGACAAGGAUAGCAAUUCUGAAAACAGUGAAUCCACAUGACUUUUGUGUCUUAAAAAAAAAAAAAAAAGAGCCAUCCAUUUUGAAAUCAGAAGUCAGAGGUGAGAGGAGACUGGACAUGUGUGGGGACCUGUGUGGAGGAAUCCCAGAACACAAGACUCUGAGGGUAGGCUUGUCCUCCUUUCUGCUCCCCCAGGAACAUCAGAGAGAAGGAUGGGUAGAAGAGAUUACAGGGAAAGGGAGAGGGACUUGGAAAGUCAGAGUAUCUUCCAGAAGGAUGGGAAUUUGUAUUUUUUUAGAAAAGGAAAAUAAUAUGUUGGGUGAUGACUCUGGGGGCCUCCCAGGUUUGGGGACACAUAUUUCUCCUGUGCCUUGGCUCACCUCCUCUUCCCCUCACCUGUGUGAAGCCUCCUCACGUAGAAUGUUGAUUCCAGGCCUGUCCUGUGUUUUCACAGGCCAGAAUGAGGCCAAGUGCCUGCUCAUGUCAAGAUUCAACCUUAAGAAAUGGGACAUGAACUACCCUUUGUCCAGGCUCCUCUGGGGACAAUUCCAACAGCAUCCCACUCCCCUCUGCAUGUGAUUCUGAUGGGCUAGAUCCUGUUGCCCUGGCAAUGACCAGCCCAGAGAUACUUUAUGGAUUUUUCCAUUUCCUCCUUCCUCACCUCAUCUUCCCCAAGCACUCACUUCUGCUUUCUAAGGUCACCUGCUCAAGAAUCCACACACCACUUUCUCUUUUCCAGCUGUCCUCUGCAUACCUUCAUGUAACUCAGGAUGGUCUUGUAAGGGCGUAUUGGAGUCAUCUGACCUUUUCCUUAACUUUAUUACCCAAACCAUGAUUCUGCAGACCUCGUGUUAUCAUUAGGGUGGCCAGCUGGGGUCCAGGUCCUUGGUGUCUUGAAAGAAUUGAGAACAACACACACACGAGUAACAGGUAAAUUACAGAAAUAUGAAGGUGAAUGUAGAAGUAGCACUCCAUAAGAUAGCGCUGAGUGGGCUGAGCAAGAGGGGGACCUGACUGAAGACCUUGCCCUAUUUUCCCCCAUUGGUUACCUUAUGAUAUUUGAUUAUAAUGUUGUCCAUUUACCCCAUUGGUCAUUUUUUAAAAUAAAUAUUUUAUAGAUGUAGUUGGACACAAUACCUUUAUUUUAUUUUUUUAUUUUUAUGUGGUGCUGAGAAUCUAACCCAGGGCCUCACACGUGAUAGGUGAGCACUCUACUGCUGAGCCACAACCCCAGCACCCCCAUUGGUCAUUCUAAAAUACGGAACCCGUGGCAGCAGUUUUCAUGGUGAUGAGUCCUCAGUGGUAAAGUUGUCAUGGUAAUGGGAUUUAUCAUAACAGGGAUGUCACCCCUCUCUCUGUCUUGUCCUCCAGUGGCAUUCUUCUUAUACCCUACCUAUGACAUCUUGGUGUUCUUGACCUCAUACCUAACACUUAUGCCUCUGAAAUGGCUUGUCAUGAACUGUCAAAAGUAUCUCAUUCUUUCUUGAGGGAUACACUGAUCCUUAUUGCUCUGAAUGUAAGUGAAUAGUUUAGAAAUUUCAAUUCAUUUCUUUUGGCUUCUGUCUCUGUCUCUUGUCUCUCUCUCCUCUCUGUGUCUCUUGAUAAAACAAUUGUACAAACCAUUGUAAAAAAGUUUGCUUCUCAAAGUGUUCUAGAAAUGAAUGAUGCUGGUGAUGUACUCUGGACUCAUUUGUCUCCUCCUCCUCCUUCUCCUCCCUUCUUCCUUCCUCCUCUUCCUUCUUUUUUUUUUUUUUAAUGGUACUGGGGACUGAACCCAGAGGUGCUCUACCACUAAACUACAUCCCCAGUCUUUUUUAUUUUGAGAUAGGGUCUUUCCAAGGUUGGCCUCAAUCUUUCAAUCCUCCUGCCUCAGCCUCCUGUGUUACUGGGAUAAUAUGUGUGUGCCACUAUGUCUGGCUGGACUCAUUUCUUAUUAUAGAAACAUGAGGCGAAAAAUAGAGUAUGAGCAAAGCCAAGGAGAAGUCAGCAGAUGGCUCUUGAAAUAGAUGGAGAAGUGCUCACAUUCUUCUGCCUGCCUGUGAAGGAAAUCCAAACCUGUUUCUCCUGCCCUACCUCUUGAUUUGGAAUCUCAGUGCAAAUCCCAACAUCAACACAGUUGCUAUGGAUUUUUAUGAUUAUCUUAAGAAUUUGUCUCAAGUGAGGCUCAAGGACCAUUAGGAGCAGGUGCUGGGAUACCAAUCGCUCACCUAUGGCUCUCAGCUCAGCACACCUUACCCUCUUUUCUACCUUCCGGUCUCUGUAUUGCAAAUGCCACCUUGUUGGGCACAAAGCCUACUUUCUUUCAAGCACUGAGAUAUUUUGCCAUUUAACUCAGCCCAGAAGCCUCCCAUAAUUUCCUCUUAAACAGGGCAGAAAUGACUAAGUUCUUCUUAUCAGAUUGAAAGCAUUCCCUGUUUGUAGGAAAUACUGACCUCUUCUGUGCCAGAUCACAAGACCCUCCUGCAUAGAGCCGGUUGCCUUUCAACAGCAGUCUGACCACUGAGAGGGCUCCAGGUUAUCUGGGAGAGGCUCUGACCAAGCCAGCUUCCUGCCCAGUUAUUCCAAUUGAGCCCUAAUUCUUUAUGCUCUUGUGGGCUGGCCCUUGUCAAAUGGUUGGGACUUUCAAGGAGGCAGCUGGGAAUGGCAGACCUUUACCCCGCUCAGAAAUGGGCAGGAACAGAUUGAUAUGUAGAUUUUGGGUUGGUCUGGGAAUGUCUGCUGAUAAAUAGGCUUAAGGCAUUGGGGGUUGUGUCUAUUGAAAACCUAAACAGAAAUGCUGAGGUCUAGAUCCUUGGUUUUACUAUAUUUCUUUUUUAAAAUAUUUUUUGAGUUGUUGAUGGACCUUUAUUUUAUUUAUUUAUAUGUGGUGCUGAGAACUGAACCCAGUGCCUCACACAUGCUAGGCAAGUGCUCUACCACUGAGUUACAACCUCAGCUCUCUACUAUAUUUCUUUUAACAAACAUUUUGGGGGUUAGUUCCAGAACUGGGUCAUUUCUCUUAGACUUUAUUUCUAGAUUUCACCAUUUUGCUUGCCUUCCUCCUCCUUCCAGGGCACAAGUGGGAAUCCUGGGUGAUUCUCCUGGCUUUUUGUUGUUGUUGUUGUUGUUAAUCAGUCCUCAAGCUCCCCACCCACUGGGCUCUGCUAUGUGCUGAACACACAAUUUUUACUUUAGCCUUCAGAAUUAUCUGUAGCUCCCUUUAAUCCCAGAGUAUUUAUACAACCAAUUUAUUUUGCAGAGACUGAUGCUUUGGGGUAUAUUUUUUUCCUGACAGGUUUGGGGGGCACUAAUAAUUUAUUCCUUCAAAAAGCUCUUUGGUCCAUGACUUUGCUUCCUAGAAUUUCUUUAGACAAUGGAUAUAUUUGUUGUAUAAGUAGUGGUCUAAGAAGUGCAUGGAGAUGAGUGGGGUGGAUUUUGAUGGCUUAGGGAAAUUUCUGGGGUUUUCUGAGCAUAGUAGUUAUGCAUGAGGUCAACGUAAUGCCAGUAUUAUUCAUGUUCUUAUAAAACUUGGAAUUUACAUUCUUAGGUUAUUGGAGAAUCAAUCAGUCAAGGUAUUGGUGAUAUCUCAUCUGCCAUUUUAAAAUUAUUUACUAAACCCUUUAGAUUUUUUUUUUUUUUUUGGUAAUGCCAUGUUAUCACUACUUUUCCAUUCUCUCUGCCAGUAGCACUCUACAGGCCUUAAUGACACAGAAAAUCUCUACAUUGUCAGCAACCUCCAAGAUCGACUUCCAGCCCUGCCUGCACUGUGAACAGGUGUUGGUUACUAGAGGUGUCUUAAUGUCUACAGGAAGGGGCAAUUUGUGAAAAUUUCCCCUCCAAUUAUCAUUCCAUGCCCAUAUUUUGUAUAAGAUCUUCUAUACCUAUUAUUCCAAUUUCUCUGAUUUCAUGUUCUAAGUCACGAUAGUUGGUCAUAGAAAUUGAAAUCAUCAUCUAUGUUUCAUAUAAGUUUUCCUGUUAUGUUGCUGAGGCUGGCCUGCAAUUUUUGAUCCUCCUGCCUCAGCUUCCCUGAUAGAUAGGAUUAUGAGUAUGAGCCACCAUACCCAGCCAUAAUUUUUAUAUUUAAGAAAUGUUGGUUCUUUGGUAUGUCUCUAUCGUAUAUAGAGUCUUAAAUUUUCUGUUGAUCAAAAGAGAUUAGAUUAGAUAUGGCUCAGUGGAUUUAACACUGAGAACUGAAAAAAAAAAUGUUGUGGAUAAGAAGGUAUAAUUGCAUUUUCCUGUCAACAUAAUAAAAGGUUUUGGAAAUUUACCAGGAAUGGACUGACAUGAUGGCCUCUGAUUUUAGACAUCAAUCUAAACCUCAGAAAGUAACAUUUGUGCUUACUGAUGUGAUUCAUUAGGAAAUACACAUUUUUUGACCAAAAAAAAAAAAUCCAACUCGAAUCACAGGAAGCCUCAAGAUUUAUCUUCUAGCUGACAAGAAAUCUAGGGGUGGAAGAACCUGCUAAAUGAUCCCCUGAAGAUAUCUCCAACACAAUCCAUGGCAAGAAGCCCUAUAGGACACAUUACCUUGUUUCUUCAACAAAUAAGCAUCAGGAUGAAAAAUAAAGAUGGGACCUGGCCCUGUGAUGCAUGCCUGUAAUCCCAGCAACUCCAGAGGCUGAGCCAGGAGAAUUACAAUUUUGAGGCCAACUUCAGCAACUUAAAGAGGCCCUAAACAAUUUAGUGAGAACCUGUCUGAAAAAUAAAUAAGUAAAUAAAUAGGGCUGGGGAUGAGGAUGUGAUUCAGUGAUAAAGUGAAUGCCCUGGGUUCAAUCCUCAAUUAAAAAAAAUAAGGGGGAAUUCAUAGAUGUGAAAAGAUGCAAAUACAUUUUGACCAAUGCCAUGUGUAGGCCUUAUCUGAUUUUCCCCCUUUAUAUUAAUGCAUUAUAUGUAUACAUAAUAGUUAAUUUUGAUAAAAUCAUUCAUGCAUGCAAUUUUAUUGACUCCAUUUUCCCCUAAUCCUCCCCAUUUUCCUUUCCUCCUCCUUCCCUCAUUCUCCUACCUCCACUGGUCUUUCUUUUAUUUGUUUGUUUAUUUUUGAUUGCUGCUUUAUAGAUACUCAUGAAGGUGGAAUUCACUCUGGUAUAUUUGUGUAUACACAUAGUGUGAUUUUGUUAAAUUCAUUCUGCUGUUCCUUCCUUUUCCCAUCCUUCCUUUCUCCCUCUUGGUCUCCAACUUUGCCCAUCUCCUCCAUCUUUCUGAUAUCUGCAUAUGAGAGAAAACAUAUGACCCUUGAUUCUCUGUGUCUGGCUCUUGUUUGAAUCUUGAUUGCGAUAAAGCAGCUCCCCCUUUGCACCAAAUAACAUGAGAUAAUUGGGGAAAAUUUAAACACUUUUGGGCCAUUCAGAAACUAUUGUUUACUUUUUAGAUGUACCAAUGCUACAUAUAGCUAUACUUUACAAAGUCUGUAAUUUUUAUGGAAGCACUUGAGGAAUUAUUUCAGGAAGAAGACUUAAUAUCUGGAAUUAACUUGCAAAUAAACCAGUUGGUAGACAAAGUGGGUGUAGGGGAAGCAAAUCAGGAUUGGCCAUGGGUUGGAACUGAGCAUUGUGAUACACUAUUCUAAUGUAUUUGAAGAUUUCCAAAAUGAAAAGUGAAAAAAAUGUCAGCUCAUAUUCCUGAACAGAUUCGUCCCAUAUCUCUCAGCCAUUGAACAUUAGAGAGAGACUGGAGUCUACAGUGGCCAUAUGCUCUUCUCCUAGGCUCACUCACUUCCUUCUUGGUGGUGAUGGCCAAUCUGGUUGAAGAAGUCGUCUCUAUGAGGCUGAUACUGUCUUGCUGCUGCUUGGGUGCUCUUUCCUGUUCGCUGGUGUUUUAUUUGCUAAAAGUACACAUCUGUAAUCCCAGAAACUUGGGAGGUUGGGGCAGAGAAGGCAGAGGAAAGGAGGAGGAAGUGAGGAUUCAUUUUUGAGAAACACUGGGUUUGAAGUAAUGAUGGAAUUCUAGCAGGAAUGUCUGGCAAACAGCUGAAAAGGUGAAACUAAAAGUCUCAAGGCAGGGGAAGCUAGAAAUGCCAAUAGCGAUGGUUAUAAGGAGCUGAGCUGAAGUUUCUCAGAUUGAAGAGUUUAAAGAAGAAUGGUAUCCGCUACUGCCAAGGUAUAUGUUGCUAGAAUGAUGGCUCUUGGGUUUGUGAAUCAGAGGUCAACCUGUGCAAUGGCCCUCACUUCCUCCUCCUUUCCUCUACCUUCUCUUUUUUUCUUCUUUUGGUACUGGGGAUUGAACCCAGCUGGGGGUUACCAUUGAGCCAAAUCCCCAGCCCUUUUGAUUUUUUAAUUUAUGACAUAGUUUUGCUGAGUUGCUUAGAGCCUUGCUAAAUUGCCAACUGGCCUCAAAUUUGCAGUCCUCCUGUCUCAACCUCCCAAGUUGCUGGGAUUACAGAUGUGUACUGUAGCACCCGGCUCACUCUCCCCACUCUCCCCUCUGUAUUUCCCAAGGUGACAUAUUUAUUGUCAGCUCUUUUGUAAUUUUUUUAAAAUUGUAUUUUUUAUUCUAAUUUGUUAUAUAUGACAUCAGAAUGCAUUACAGUUGAUAUCACACUUAUAGAGCACAAAUUUUCAUCUCUCUGGUUGCAUACAAAGUAUAUUCACAUCAUUUGUGUUUCUUCAUACAUGUACUUAGGGUAAUGAUGUCCAUCUCAUUCCACCGUCUUUCUUACUCCAUUUCCCCUUCAUUCCCCUCCUACCCCUUUGCCCUAUCUAGAGUUUGUCUAAUCUUCCCUUGCUCCACCUACCAACCCCACUAUGAAUCAGCCUCCUUAUAUCAGAGAAAACAUUCAACUUUUGGUUUUAUGGCAUUAAUUAACUUCACUUAGCCUUAUAUUCCCUGACUCCAUCCAUUUACCUGCAAAUGCCAUGAUUUUAUUCUCUUUUAAUGCUGAAUAAUAUUCCAUUGUGUAUAUAUAUACCACAUUUUCUUUGUGCAUUCAUCUGCUGAAGGGCGUUUAGGUUGGUUCCACAGUUUAGCAAUUGUGAAUUGUGCUGCUAUAAACAUUGAUGUGGCUGAGUCCCUAUAGUAUGCUAUUUUUAAGUCCUCUGGGUACAGACCGAGGAGUGGGAUAUCUGGGUCAAAAGAUGGUUCCAUUCCUAGUUUUCCAAGGAAUCUCCAUACUGCUUUCCAUAUCGGUUGCACCAUUUUGCAGUCCCACCAACAGUGUUUGAGUAUGCCUUUUUCCCCACAUCCUCGCCAACACUUAUUGUUGUUUCUAUUUUUAAUAGCUGCCAUUUUGACUGGCGUGAGAUAAAAUCUUAGAGUAGUUUUGAUUUGCAUUUCUUUAAUUGCUAGAGAUGUUGAACAUUUUUCAUAUGUUUGUUGAUUAAUUGUAUACCACUUUUUGAGAAGUGUCUGUUCAGUUCCUUGGCCCAUUUAUUGAUUGGGUUAUUUGUUUUUUUCAUGUCUAGCUUUUUGAGUUCUUUAUAAACCCUAGAGAUUAGUGUUUAUCUGAUGUGCUUGUGGUAAAAAUUUGCUUCCAAGACGUAGGUUCUCUACAAACCUCACUGAUUGUUUCUUUUGCUGAGAAGAAGUUUUUUAGUUCGAAUCCAUCUCAUUUAUUAAUGCUUGAUUUUAAUUCUUGCGCUAUAGAGUAUUAUUAAGGAAGUAGGGCCUAAUCCAAUAUGAUGGAGAUUAGGGCCUACUUUUUCUUUUAUUAGAUGCAGCAUCUCUGGUUUUAUUUCUAGGUCCUUGAUCCACUUUGAGUUGAGUUUUGUGCAUGGUGAGAGAUGGGGGUUUAAUUUCACUUUGUUGCAUAUGGAUUUCCAGUUUCCCCAGUACCAUUUGUUGAAGAGGUUAUCUUUUCUCCAAUGUAUGUUUUUGGUGCCUUUGUCUAAUAUAAGAUCACUGUAAUUAUAUGGGUUAGUCUCUCAUCCUCUAUUCUGUACCAUUGGUCUACCAGUCUAUUUUAGUGUGAAUAACAUGCUGUUUUUGUUACAAUUGCUCUGUAGUAUAGUUUAAGGUCUGGUAUAGCGAUGCCACCUGCUUUACUCUUCUUCUUAUGGAUUGCUUUAGGUAUUCUGGGUCUUUCAUUUUUUCCAGAUGAAUUUCAUGAUUGCUUUUUCUAUUUAUAUGAGGAAUGUCAUUGGGAUUUUGAUUGGAAUUGCAUUAAAUCUGUGUAGUGCUUUUGGUAGUAUGGUCAUUUUGACAUUAUUAAUUGUGCCUAUCCAAGAACAAGGAAGAUCUUUUCAUCUUCUAAGGUCUUCUUUAAUUUCUUUCUUUAGCAUUCUGUAGUUUUUAUUGUAGAGAACUUUUACCUCUUUUGUUAGAUUGAUUCCCAAGUAUUUUUUUUUUUUUUGCAGCUAUUGUAAACUAUGGUGUAAACUAUGAUGUAACUUUCCUCAUUUCCCUUACAGAGGAUUUGUCACUAAUAUACAAAAAUGCCUUUGAUUUAUGGGUGUUGAUUUUGUAUUCUGCUACUUUGCUGAAUUUAUUUACUAGUUCUAGAAGUUUUCUGGUGGAAUUUUUUGAGUCUUCUAGGUAUAGAAUCAUAUCAUUGGCAAAUAGUGCUAAUUUGAGUUCUUCUUUUUCCUAUCUGUAUCCCUUUAAUUUCUUUCAUCUGUCUAAUUUCUCUGGCCAGUGUUAAAUAGAAGUGGUGAAAGAGGGCAUCCCUGUCUUGUUCCAAUUUUCAGAGGGAAAACUUUCAAUUUUUCUAUAUUUAGAAUGAUGUCGGUCUGGGGCUUAGCAUAGAUAGCUUUUACAAUGUUGAGAUGUUCCUGUUAUUCCUAGUUUUCUAGUGUUUUGAACAUGAAGGGAUGCUGCAUUUUGUCAAAUGAUUUUUCUGUAUCUAUUGAGAUGACAAUAUGGUUUUUAUGAUUAAGUCUAUUGAUGUGAUGAAUUACAUUUAUUGAUUUCUAUAUGUUGAAACAACCUUGCAUCCCUGGGAUGAACCCCACUUGAUCAUGGUGCACUGUCUUUUUGAUAUGUGUUUGUAUUCGAUUUGCCAGAAUUUUUGCAUCUAAGUUCAUUAGAGAUAUUGUUCUGAAGUUUUUUUUCUUUGAUAUGUCUUUGUCUGCUUUGGAAUCAGGAGUGACAUUGGCCUCAUAGAAUGAGUUUGGAAGUGCUCCCUCUUUUUCUAUCUCCUGAAAUAAAUUGAAGAGCAUUGGUAUUAGUUCUUCUUUGAAGGUCUUGUAGAACUCUGCUGUGUGUCCAUCUGGUUCUGGGCUUUUCUUGGUUGGUAAGCUUCUGAUGGCAUCUUCUAUUUCAUCACUUGAUAUUGGUCUGUUUAAAUUGUGUAUAUCGUCCUGAUUCAACUUGGGGAAAUCAUAUGACCCUAGAAAUUUGUCAAUGCCUUCAAUAUUUUCUAUUUUAUUGGAGUAUAAAUUUUCAAAAUAAUUUCUAAUUAUCUUCUGUAUUUCUCAAGUUUUUCCUGUGAUAUUUACUUUUUCAUUAUAUAUUUUAAUAAUUUGAGUUUUCUCUCCCUCUCAUUGUUAGCAUGGCUAAGGGUUUGUCAAUUUUAUUUAUUUUUUUCAAACAACCAACUUUUUAUUCUGUCAAAUUUUCAAUUGUUUAUUUUGUUUCAACUUCACUGAUUUCAGCUCUGAUUUUAAAUAUUUCUGCUUUUGGUGUUGAUUUGUUAUUCUUUUUUCUAGGGAUUUGAGAUGUAAAGUGAUUUAUUUGUUGACUUUUUCUUCUUUUAAGGAAUGAACUCCAUGCAAUGAACUUUCCUCUUAGUACUGCCUUCAUAGUGUCCUAGAGAUUUCAAUAUGUUGUAUCUGUGUUCUCAUUCACCUCUAAGUAUUUUUAAAUAUCCUCCUUUAUAUCUUUUGCAGCCCAUUGUUCAUUCAGUAGCAUAUUAUUUAGUCUCCAGGUGUUGGAGUAGCUUUUAUUUUUUAUUUUAUCAUUGAUUUCUAAUUUUAUUCCAUUAUAAUUUGAAAGAAUGCAGGGUAGUAUCUCUCCUUUUUAAUAUUUGCUAAAAGUUGCUUUGUAGCAUAAUUUAGGGUCUAUUUUAGAUAAGGAUCCAUGUGCUGCUGAAAAUAAAGUGUAUUUGUUCAUUGUAGGAUGAAAUAUUUUAUAUUUGUCAGUUUAGUCUAAGUUAUUGAUUCUAUUAGUAAGUUCUAUAGUUUCUUUGUUCAGCUUUUGUUUGGACUAUCUAUGCAGUGGUGAAACAGGUGUGUUAAAGUUACCCAGAAUAUUGUGUUGUGGUCUAUUUGACUCUUGAACUUGAGAAAAGUUUGAUGAAUGUAGAUGCUCUAUUGUUUGGGACAUAUAAAUUUAUUAUUAUUAUAUCUUGUUGAUGAAUGGUUCCCUUAAGCAGUAUGAAAUACCCUUCCUUAUCCCUUUUGAUUAACAUUGGCUUGAAGUCUUCUUUAUUUGAUACAAGGAUGGAAACCCCUCCAUGCUUCCACAGUCCAUGUGAGUGGUAUGACUGUUCCCAACCUUUCACCUUCAGUCUGUGGAUAUUUCUUAUGAAAUGAGUCUCUUGGAGGCAGCAUAUUGUUGGGUCUUUUUUUGUAAUCCAAUAUGCCAGUCUAUGUUUUGAUUGGUGAGUUUAUGACAUUAACAUUCAUGGUUAUUGAGACAUGAUUUGUAGUCCCAGCCAUUUUUGUUUAUUUUUGAUAUUUAACUUCACUUGGUUUCUCCUUUGAUUAGUUUUUCCUAUAGUGUAAUACCUCCCUUUUCUGAUUUUCUUUGUUGUUUUUCAAUUCCUCUUCAUGGAAUAUUUUGCCGAGGAUGUUCUAUAGUGCAGCCUUUUGAGUUGUAAAUUCUUUUAACUUUUGUUUAUCAUGGAAGUUUUUAUUUCAUCAUCAAAUUUAAAGCUUAAUUUUGCUGGAUAUAAGAUUCUUGGUUGGCAUCCAUUUUCUUUCAGAGCUUUGAUAUAUGUUCUUCCAGGAUCUUUUAGCUUUCAGGGUCUGGGUUGAAAAAUCUGCACAUAAUCUAAUUGGUUUCCCCCUAUAUGUGAUCUGAUUCUUUUGUCUUGUGGCUUUUAAUAUCCCCUCCCUAUUCUAUAAGUUAGGCAUUUUCAUUAUAAUGUGCCUUGGUGUGGAUCUCUUGUGAUUUUGUAUAUCUGGCAUCCUGUUAGCCUCCUGAAUUUGGUUUUCCAAUUCAUUCUUCAUGUUUGGAAAAUUUUCUGAUAUUAUUUCAUUGAAUAGGUUGUUCAUCCCUUUGGUUUGGAACUCUAUGCCUUCCUCUAUCCUCACAACUCUUAAAGUUGGUCUUUUCAUGCUAUUCCAUAUUUCUUGAAUGUUCUGCUCAUGGUUUCUUACCAUUUUCACACUGUGGUCUACAUUCUUUUCAAGAUUAUAUAUUUUGUCUUCAUUGUCUAAGGUCCUGUCUUCUAAGUGGUCUAAUCUGUUGGUGAUGCUUUCAAUUGAUUUAAAAAUUUUUUUUCUUUCAGUUCAAGGAUUUCUGUGUGUGUGUGUGUGUGUGUGUGUGUACUUGUAGAAUCUCUAUUUCCCUAUUGAAGUAAACUUUUGCUUCCUGUAUUUGUUUAUGUAGCUCAUUGUCAAAAUGAUCUUUUGUUGCCUCUAUUUGCUCUCUUAUAUCAUCCUUUAAUUCACAGAACAUUUUAAUUAUGUACAUUCUGAACUCCUUUUAUGUCAUUUCUCUUGCUGUGCUGGACGUGGAUUCUAAUAAUGUUGUAUCUUGAUUUGUUUGGGGCACUUUCUUUCCUUGUCUUUUCAUAUUGCUUGUGUGUCUUCCCUUCUAGCACUGUGAAUCCAAGGUGUUACCUUUUUUACCCUAUAGGUUUAUAGAGCCCCUGUAAAGAUCCAAUACCUUUCCUUUGAAGUGAAGGACAGUGUUAUCAGAUCCCAAUAUAAAUAAUAUACACUCUAAAAAUAAAUGUUUGCUAUUAAGACAUUUACAGUUUGGUUACAAUGUACAGAAAUGGUGAAUUCAAUUAUUAUCUACAAUAUACUCAGUAGGUUUGUAAAAGGGUUUACAGUUUUUGAUGGUGGACAAAGAACUGGGGGUGAGGAGUAGGAUGAUAUGCUGAGGAGGUAGAAAGUGAGAAUAUAGAGUUAUUAUAUCUUAGGAAAUGUGAAAAUGAAAUCUAAAGAGGAAGAUUAGUACAGGAAGAGAGAGAGGAAGUAAUUUGGGGUAGACAAGUAAGUGGAAAGACAGUAGAGUACAUAAAACACACACACAUAUACAUUAAGAAAAAUAAAAAAAUGUUAAAAUAGUACAAAUUUGUUGAGAGUCACAUAUAUCAGAUUAACUAUCUAUUUUAAGUUUAUUAAAACAUCAUGGUUAAGGAAAUAUGAUGGUCAAUUUUGGCCAAAAUGGAAAUGGAUAUAUUUUAUUUGAUAUAUGUAUUUUUAUGUGAUAUAUAUAUAUAUAUAUAUAUAUAUAUAUAUAUAUAUAUAUUUUGUUUUUUUUUUUGUGGUACUGGGGACUGAGGCUAAGAGUGCUCUACCACUGAACUAUAUUCUUAGCCCUUUUUAUAUUUUAUUUUAAGAAAGGGUCUUGCUCAGUUACCGUAGGCUGACCUCAAACUUGUGAUCCUCCUUCCUUGGUCUGUAAAUACAUGUUGAUAAAUGUCUAUAUUUAUCAACAAGGUAUAGGGUGAGCACAAGCAGGAAGUAGGUUUGGAAUGUCUAUAGCUCUCUCUCUCCCUCUCUUUCUCUCUGACUGUUCAUCUCACUACACCCCUUAGAACAGCUCUACGUGUUCUGUGACAGAGAUACCAAGAUCCCCCAUCUUCUUGAAUUACAUCCUGGAGAGGAUGCUUAGAUAUAAAAUCAGACAGUUUCUAUAUCACAUGCAAAGUGCUAGGAUAGUAGGGUAAACAGGUACCUGAGAGAACCAAAGGGAGAAAUUUAGAUCAAGAUGGAGGGUGCCAGAAGCCUGCCUUUGUUUUGAAGAUGAAAACCCGGCAGGUGAAGAUAUGAGGGACACUGCAUGAUCCACCAGGACCCUGAGCCACUCAACAGCACCAACAAGUCGUGAGCCCAAGUUUGUUGAACUCCGCUAUGUUCUAGGCAUUAUGCUGCAUUCUCCUGUAUUUCAUUUGUGCUUCACAAACACCCCUGAGGAAUCAUUUCCAUUUCAUGGCAAGAGGAAGCUGUAGCAUGGGUAGUCUGAGACUUGCCUCAGGUGAUGUGGCUCUGCCAGCUUUUAAACACUCCAUGUGGACAAAGUGUCAGGUUUGAGGUCAGAUCUCAGGAAGAUGGGCUGGAGCUGCCCGCAGGGACCCAAUGUCAGGGAGAGUGAAGAGUUAAGGAAAGGGGAGGGUGUGAAGCUGGGAUAGUGAGCUUUUUGGAUUCUUCUGUGGGGAACAUGGGUGAAGGGGGUGAGCCUGGAACAGGGAAUCAGUUAGGAGCCUUCUCAAGUUGGCCUGAGGGCUUCCAGGGGUUCUUAUUCUUGCAUUCUUCCCACAGGGAGGGUAUGCAAGGAGCUAAGGACAAGACCAAGAACGGCACUCCCAAGUGCGAUGGUAGACCUUCCCCCUGGCUGAAUUAUUGAUCACCCUGCAUCUGUUUUCUCACAGCUUCUAGAGUAUUCCAUUUCCCACUUGUGUGUUAUUUCCUAAGAGGUGCAUACUGGGUUCAUUUGCUCCUGCUUAGGGAGUGUCUCCUGAGUUGAUCUCUUGGAGAUCAACUAAUUUGAGGACCAACACUGCUGCCACUGGCAGUGGGUACACCUGGAAGUUCCCUAGGUGCUUGGGUGUUCUAGCAAACACAACAGUCCCCACCUAUCUGAAGUUUUGCUUUCCAUGGUUUCAAUGGUGUUCUGAAAAUAUGAAAUGGAUUCUGUGGUCUUAUUACCCUGAACGUGCCCGAUCUUGUCUGAAAAUAUUAAGUGGAAAAUUCCAUAAAGAAAGAUUUAAUAAAUUAUUUAAAACUGAUUACAGAAUGCUGUUGUAAUUGCUGUAUUUUAUGAAUUGUUAUUGUUGCUCUCUUACUGUAUCUGCUUUAUAAGGGAAACUUUAUCAGACAAAUGUAUGCAUAGAAGGAAACAGGGAGAGCUGGUAUUAUUUGAAGUUUGAGGCAUCCACUGGAGUCUUGGCAUGUAUCCCUUCUGGAUAAAAGGAAACUAUUGUGCAACACUUGCUUAGUUAUUUAUUCCUUAUUACUUAUUUGUUCUUCUCUCCCCAUCCAGUUUCCUUCUCCUGAAGAUCUCCAUUAAGAAAGCUGCAAGUUUUAGGGGAAUAAUAUCUGUGAUGUCUGGCCACUGAUUCUCAAGGUUAGUUUCAAAUGAGCACCGAGAAAGACGUGAGACAUCCUUGGAUCUUUGCAGUGCCUGCUGCCCAUGAAAAUGUUCUUCAGGUGCAAAAGGACACGUAGGCUCUGUCACAAAUCUUGCCUCCAGUCUCCUCACCCUCCCAUGUUUCAUGGUUCCCCCUAACACUCCUGAUUCUGAUAUUUUGCUUCAAUGUUCAUUUCCCAUCUGUCUCCUAUUACUAGAAGGAAAGCCCCCAGAGAAUAUCAGUUUUCUCUAUUUGCUUUCUGUUAUAGACUGUGCCUGGCACAUAGUAGGCCCUCAAUUAAUAUUUGUUGAAUAAAUGAAUGGAUGAAACUGCUGCGUGCAUUUAGUCCU
RNAcentral lists this long non-coding RNA (34085 nucleotides) under Marmota monax (woodchuck). Lineage: Eukaryota; Metazoa; Chordata; Mammalia; Rodentia; Sciuridae. The record is from RNAcentral.